RNAcentral lists this long non-coding RNA (2325 nucleotides) under Macaca fascicularis (crab-eating macaque). RNAcentral describes it as "lncRNA (ENSMFAG00000049333.1)". Lineage: Eukaryota; Metazoa; Chordata; Mammalia; Primates; Cercopithecidae. The record is from RNAcentral.
AUUACAGAUAAAUCCUUUUCCUUACUGAGGUACAGUUACAUUUUUCCUACCUUUCACUAUUAAAAAUAGCACACAAAUACUCUUCUGCAGUGUGUGAGGGGUUCUCUAAGACCUAUCCCUGUAAGUGGGAACUAUUGGAAUGUGAGAUGUUCAUGUUUUCCAUUGUAACCUAAGUAUUUCAAAAUUGUUCAAAAUGCUUAUAAAAAGUCUUCCACCAGCAAUAAGAUUUCCUCUUGCUCCAUAUUGCCAGUAACCUGAUGUUUUUGGACUAUUGCCAAUCUGAUAAGUUUGAAAUUGUGUCUUUGAUGCUUUCAAAUUUAUGUUACUCUGAUUGCUAUUUAGGUUGGUGGUCCUUUCCUGUAUUUAUUGGCCAUUUGGUUUCCACUACCCUGUACUGCCUAUUCAUAUCCUUUGCAAAUUUUUCUGUUGUGAUGCUUUUUCCUGUUGAAUUGACAUGCUCUUUAUGUAUUAUUGAUAUUAACCUCUUGACAUUUAUAGAGGUUGCAAAUGUCUUCUCUCUGUUCCCGGCUUGGAUUUUCACUUUGUGAUUUUUGCCAUAUAAAAGUUCUUUAUGGCCAGGAGCGGUAGCUCACGCCUGUAAUCCCAGCACUUUGGGAGGCCAAGGCAGGCGGACCACGAGGUCAACAGAUUGAGACCAUCCUGGCCAACAUGGUGAAACCCCGUCUCUACUAAAAAUACCAAAAUUAGCUGAACAUGAUGGUGCAUGCCUGUAGUCCCAGCUACUCGGGAGGCUGAGGCAAGAGAAUCGCUUGAACUCAGGAGGCAGAGUUUGCAGUGAGCCUAGAUCGUGCCACUGCACUCCAGCCUGGCGACAGAGCAAGACUCCGUCAAAAAAAAAAAAAACUUUAAUAUUAAUGUAACUAUCUUCUUCACUGUUGGUGCAUGUUUAUGUGUUAAGAAAUCCUCAAUGUCAUAAGGAUAUUAACCUUUUUUCUUCUGAAUAUGGUUUUUCACUUUUUAGUCGUUAAGUAGUUUGGGAAUAUAUUUUUUGUAUGUUCAUGGUGUCUGCCUCUAUUUUUAUAAUUUUCAAUAUUCCUACCCAAUUUUCAUAGUACCACCUUUUUUCAAAAGUUUAUCUUGCCAUGCACAGUGGCUCUCAUCUGUAAUCCCAGCGCUUUGGGAGGCUGAGACAGGUGGAUCACUUGAGGUCAGGGGUUUGAUACCAGCCUAACCAACAUGGGAAAGCCUGUCUCUACUAAAAAUACAAAAAUUAGCCAGGUGUGGUGGUAGGCACCUGUAAUCCUGGCUACUCAGAAGGCUAAGGCAGAAGAAUCGCUUGAACCUGGGAGGCGGAGGUUGCAGUGAGCUGAGAUCGCACCACUGCACUCCAACUUGGGUGACAGAGCUCAAAAAAAAAGUGUAUUCACCUCUGUCAUAUCAGAUUUCCAUAUUAUUUGUAGUUCUUUCUGUAUGCUCUUCACCCCUACCAUAUCUAGCCCCAUCACCCUUGAUUAAAUAAAGCUUUAAAGUAAGAAUUACUCUCUGAUAGGAUGAGCACCAGAGCACCAUCAUUAUUCAGGUUAUUCACAAUUGUCUUAGCUAUCUUGAAGCCCUAUACUCUCCUAUGAAUUUUUGGAUCAGCUUGUGAAGUUCCUAAAAACCUUCAUAGGAUUUCAUUUGAAAAGAACUGCAUUGAAUUUAUAAGAUCAAUUUGAGGAGAAUGGUCAUAUUUAUACCAAGGCUUUGUAUUUAUGAACAUGGUAUAUCUAUCUCUCCAUUUAUAUCUUUUAUGCCCUUCAAUAAAGUUUUAUAAUUUUCAGCAUAAAGAUUUAAGAUUCACACCUGUCUUGUAGCUUUUGCAGCUCUUAUACAAAGUAACAUAUAUUCUUCUCCCAAGCCCAUAUAAUAAGUUGGAGUGGUAUAUUCCCUUAUUCGAUACUCUGAAAUAAUUGGAAUUUUUCAUUCCUUGAAUAUUUCAUAGAACUCACCAGUAAUACUAUUGGGGCCUAGAAUUCUCUUUGUGGUACAAUUAUUUUUAAAUUACUGAUUCAGUCAAGUACCAUGACUCAUACCUGUAAUCCCAGCAUUUUGGGAUGUUGAGGCAAGAGGAUCAUUUGAGGUUAGGGAUUCAAGACCAGUCUGGGUAACAAAGCAAGACUCUGUCUCUACAAAAAAAAAUUUUAAAAAUUAGCCAGGCAUGGUGGCACACAACUCUAGUCCUAGCUACUCAGGAGACUGAGGUGGGAGGAUCACUUGAGCACAAAAGGUCAAAACUGGAGUGAGCUGUGAUCACGGCACUGCACUCCAGCUUGGAUGACAAAGUGAGGCACUGUCUAAAAAAAAAAAAAAAGAAAAAGAAAAAAA